Molecule: ribosomal RNA, 629 nt
Filed under: Halomonas sp. 29ox
Lineage: Bacteria; Pseudomonadati; Pseudomonadota; Gammaproteobacteria; Oceanospirillales; Halomonadaceae
Description: bacterial SSU rRNA
Rfam family: Bacterial small subunit ribosomal RNA
Source: RNAcentral
AGUGGGGGAUAACCUGGGGAAACCCAGGCUAAUACCGCAUACGUCCUACGGGAGAAAGGGGGCUCCGGCUCCCGCUAUGGGAUGAGCCUAUGUCGGAUUAGCUAGUUGGUGAGGUAACGGCUCACCAAGGCGACGAUCCGUAGCUGGUCUGAGAGGAUGAUCAGCCACAUCGGGACUGAGACACGGCCCGAACUCCUACGGGAGGCAGCAGUGGGGAAUAUUGGACAAUGGGGGAAACCCUGAUCCAGCCAUGCCGCGUGUGUGAAGAAGGCCCUCGGGUUGUAAAGCACUUUCAGCGAGGAAGAACGCCUAGCGGUUAAUACCCGCUAGGAAAGACAUCACUCGCAGAAGAAGCACCGGCUAACUCCGUGCCAGCAGCCGCGGUAAUACGGAGGGUGCAAGCGUUAAUCGGAAUUACUGGGCGUAAAGCGCGCGUAGGUGGCUUGAUAAGCCGGUUGUGAAAGCCCCGGGCUCAACCUGGGAACGGCAUCCGGAACUGUCAAGCUAGAGUGCAGGAGAGGAAGGUAGAAUUCCCGGUGUAGCGGUGAAAUGCGUAGAGAUCGGGAGGAAUACCAGUGGCGAAGGCGGCCUUCUGGACUGACACUGACACUGAGGUGCGAAAGCGUGGG